AACGAACGCUGGCGGCGGGUCUUAGGCAUGCAAGUCGAACGGGUUCAGCAAUGAAUCAGUGGCGCACGGGUGAGUAACACGUAGGUGAUCUGCCUUGAGGAUGGGGAUAGCCUGUGGAAACACAGGGUAAUACCGAAUGAGCUGACGUGACUUUGGUUAUGUUAGUAAAGGUGCUACGGCACCGCCUUGAGAGGAGCCUGCGGCUGAUUAGCUAGUUGGUGGGGUAAAGGCCUACCAAGGCGACGAUCAGUAGCCGGCCUGAGCGGGUGUACGGCCACACUGAGACUGAGACACGGCUCAGACUCCUACGGGAGGCAGCAGCGAAGAAUCUUCCGCAAUGGGCGAAAGACUGACGGAGCGAUGCCGCGUUAUCUAUGUAGGUCGAGAGAUUGUAAAGAUCUUUUACAGCUGAGGAAUAAGUCUGGGAGGGAAUGCCCGGAUGAUGACGUUAAGAUGUGAAUAAGCGCCGGCUAAGUACGUGCAAGACGCCGCCGUAA
Molecule: ribosomal RNA, 497 nt
Filed under: uncultured bacterium
Lineage: Bacteria
Description: partial 16S ribosomal RNA
Rfam family: Bacterial small subunit ribosomal RNA
Source: RNAcentral